CCACGGGGGGCUGCAGUGGGGAAUAUUGGACAAUGGGCGAAAGCCUGAUCCAGCCAUGCCGCGUGUGUGAAGAAGGCCUUCGGGUUGUAAAGCACUUUCAGUGGGGAAGAAAGCCUUGGGGCUAAUACCCUCGAGGAAGGACAUCACCCACAGAAGAAGCACCGGCUAACUCCGUGCCAGCAGCCGCGGUAAUACGGAGGGUGCGAGCGUUAAUCGGAAUUACUGGGCGUAAAGCGCGCGUAGGCGGUCUGAUAAGCCGGUUGUGAAAGCCCCGGGCUCAACCUGGGAACGGCAUCCGGAACUGUCAGGCUAGAGUGCAGGAGAGGAAGGUAGAAUUCCCGGUGUAGCGGUGAAAUGCGUAGAGAUCGGGAGGAAUACCAGUGGCGAAGGCGGCCUUCUGGACUGACACUGACGCUGAGGUGCGAAAGCGUGGGUAGCAAACAGGAUUAGAUACCCCAGUAGUC
Molecule: ribosomal RNA, 464 nt
Filed under: Vreelandella stevensii
Lineage: Bacteria; Pseudomonadati; Pseudomonadota; Gammaproteobacteria; Oceanospirillales; Halomonadaceae
Description: partial 16S ribosomal RNA
Rfam family: Bacterial small subunit ribosomal RNA
Source: RNAcentral